This 379-nucleotide ribosomal RNA is filed under the name uncultured eukaryote. RNAcentral's name for it is "partial 18S ribosomal RNA". It matches the Rfam family "Eukaryotic small subunit ribosomal RNA", at positions 592 to 976 of the family's 1831-position model. The record is from RNAcentral.
CAAUAGCGUAUAUUAAAGUUGUUGCAGUUAAAAAGCUCGUAGUUGAACUUCAGGCUUGGCGGGGUGGUCUGCCUCACGGUAUGUACUACCCGGCCGAGCCUUACCUCCUGGUGAGCCUGCAUGCCGUUUAUUCGGUGUGUAGGGGAACCAGGAAUUUUACUUUGAAAAAAUUAGAGUGUUCAAAGCAAGCCAUCGCUCUGAAUACAUUAGCAUGGAAUAACAUGAUAGGACUCCGCUCUUAUUUUGUUGGUUUCCGAGACUGGAGUAAUGAUUAAGAGGGACAGUCGGGGGCAUCCGUAUUUCAUUGUCAGAGGUGAAAUUCUUGGAUUUAUGAAAGACGAACUUCUGCGAAAGCAUUUGCCAAGGAUGUUUUCAUUAA